CCUACGGGAGGCAGCAGUGGGGAAUAUUGGGCAAUGGGCGCAAGCCUGACCCAGCAACGCCGCGUGAAGGAAGAAGGCUUUCGGGUUGUAAACUUCUUUUAAGGGGGAAGAGCAGAAGACGGUACCCCUUGAAUAAGCCACGGCUAACUACGUGCCAGCAGCCGCGGGAAUACGUAGCUGGCAAGCGGUGUCAGGAUUUACUGGGUGUAAAGGGCGUGCAGCCGGAGAGACAAGUCAGAUGUGAAAUCCACGGGCUCAACCCGUGAACUGCAUUUGACACUGUGUCCCUUGAGUGCCGGAGAGGUAAUCGGAAUUCCUUGUGUAGCGGUGAAAUGCGUAGAUAGAAGGAAGAACACCAGUGGCGAAGGCGGAUUACUGGACGAUAACUGACGGUGAGGCGCGAAAGCGUGGGGAGCAAACAGGAUUAGAUACCCGGGUAGUC
This 442-nucleotide ribosomal RNA is filed under the name uncultured bacterium. Its description in RNAcentral is "partial 16S ribosomal RNA". It matches the Rfam family "Bacterial small subunit ribosomal RNA", at positions 338 to 795 of the family's 1533-position model. The record is from RNAcentral.